RNAcentral lists this long non-coding RNA (523 nucleotides) under Ornithorhynchus anatinus (platypus). RNAcentral's name for it is "lncRNA (ENSOANG00000040318.1)". The record is from RNAcentral. Lineage: Eukaryota; Metazoa; Chordata; Mammalia; Monotremata; Ornithorhynchidae.
CUCUAUGCAAAUAGAGAGGCUGACGUCACCCGUCACGUGGUUUCAGCGUCGCUGCCCCGCUGGGAGCCAGGGUUUUUUUUUUUUUUUUUGGUUUUUUUCCUGCCCCCUCCCCUGCGCCCCUCCCCCGCCUGCGGGCUCCUCCUCCUGCUCCUCCUCCUGCUCCUCCUGCUCCUGCUGCUCCUCCUGCUCCUGCCGCCGCCGGGGUGUUGUUGGGCUGCUCCCGGCUGGGCGGGAGCCCCGCUCCCCUGUGGGAUCCCCCCGUGCGGGGUGGGGGCGGGAGGACUGGCCGGGCCGGGGGCCCCGCAGCGCCCCGCCUGCAGAUGUGACAGGUGGCUGCUUCCAGGGUCCAAUGGUGAAGAGACCUCCAGGAUGUGAGGGGUACGUUCCUGGUGUCACACGGCCGGAUGGCAGGCAGAAACGAGGCUUAGCGUCCCCCAGGCCGACAGGACUUCCGCCUCGAGACCGGCCCGUCCGAGGGAAGGCCGGCCUGUUGAGAAGCCCCCUACUCGCCCCAAGUCACCAC